Molecule: long non-coding RNA, 1157 nt
Organism: Nomascus leucogenys (northern white-cheeked gibbon)
Lineage: Eukaryota; Metazoa; Chordata; Mammalia; Primates; Hylobatidae
Exons: 5
Source: RefSeq, a predicted model, not a curated record
AAUAGAAGGGUUAUAGGGUGGGGGAGCGGAGGCUGAAGAAGAGUUGGAGCCUGAUUCAGCCUGGCGGGGAGCGACCUGAGGAGGAGCAGUCUGGGGAGGAGAACCCUUGAUGGCCUGUUUCCCAUCCUCCAUCCUGGAAAACUGAUCUGGAACGCCAGGAGGAGGUCCUCUGAGCCCUGAGGCAGAGAUGUCUCACCUGGAAAAUGGGUCUAAUGACUGAGCCCCCCAUGCAGCAGAGAGGACUGCAGAUAGUGUGGAUGAGAGGAAGGUCUCUGGCCCUGGACACAGCAUCAUCAAGUGAAAAUGUAUGAGGAAGAAAAUAGCAGAUGAGAAGAAUCAACCAAAUUCCGGAAGCUGGAAGGCAGAUGCAAGAAGGCCCUUGAAUGAUGCCAGCACCUUGAUAUUGGACUUCCCAGCCUCCAGAACCAUAAGCCAAUACAUUUCUGUUCCAUAAAAAUUACCCAGUUUCAGGUGUUCUGCUAUAGCAGCACAAAAUGGACUAAAACAAUGUUGGCACAAGACUCACUGCUGAGCCUGGCAUACAACAAGCCCUUGGAGUGGCGUGCUGUGUGGAUAAUGAAUGUUGGGGAAGGCGUCUCUCUCCAGCCCCUCUCAAGCUUUCUGUAGUCACUGGUCCACUCUGUAUUGCUAUGAAGAAGUUCAGGACCAGCCUGUAUCACUCGGGGUCCUGGCAGGAACCAGGUGCCACACUCAAACUGAGUAAUUGAAGAGGGUUUAAUAUGGGAGUUAUUUACAAAGGUGUGGGCUGGUAUAGCUGCCCAUAUGCCCUCGAAAUCACCUCUACAUGGCAAUAGCUACUUGCUGCUGACAGAGUCUCUCUCUCAUUGCUGCAAAUAUUUUCUAGCCAUGCAAGAAACUCAGCCAGUUAUGUUGAACAAACUAAGAGUGCCAGGAAGUUAAUGUCCUGGAAGCAUUGCCAGAGGGGAGGGGGCAGAUAGAUUCCCCAGCUUCCUCGCUCCUCAGCUGGGUUAAGCCUGCGACAUAUUCAUUAUCUCCCAGAGUGCUGCCCAGGGAUAGAGCGCCAGGUGCUCAGUGUGGUGACCUGCUCAUGUCAGCUUCUUCCCCUUUCCUGUCUUGUUUCUGCACCCACUUCCUUCCCAUGUUUCCUCUUCCCAAAUAAACUACUUGCAUUCAAA